AGCGAACGCUGGCGGCAGGCUUAACACAUGCAAGUCGAACGGAUCCUUCGGGAUUAGUGGCGGACGGGUGAGUAACACGUGGGAACGUGCCUUUUGGUUCGGAACAACACAGGGAAACUUGUGCUAAUACCGGAUGUGCCCUUCGGGGGAAGGAUUAUCGCCAUUAGAGCGGCCCGCGUCUGAUUAGCUAGUUGGUGAGGUAAAGGCUCACAAGGCUACGAUCAGUAGCUGGCUGAGAGGAUGAUCAGCCACACUGGGACUGAGACACGGCCCAGACUCCUACGGGAGGCAGCAGUGGGGAAGUCUUGCGCAAUGGGGGAAACCCGUGACGCAGCCAUGCCGCGUGAAUGAUGAAGGUCUUAGGAUUGUAAAAUUCUUUCAGCGGGGGACGAUAAUGACGGUACCCGCAGAAGAAGCUCCGGCUAACUUCGUGCCAGCAGCCGCCGUAAU
RNAcentral lists this ribosomal RNA (450 nucleotides) under uncultured bacterium. RNAcentral describes it as "bacterial SSU rRNA". It matches the Rfam family "Bacterial small subunit ribosomal RNA", at positions 29 to 524 of the family's 1533-position model. The record is from RNAcentral.